This 632-nucleotide ribosomal RNA is filed under the name Carnobacterium maltaromaticum. RNAcentral describes it as "bacterial SSU rRNA". Lineage: Bacteria; Bacillati; Bacillota; Bacilli; Lactobacillales; Carnobacteriaceae. The record is from RNAcentral.
AAACGGAUGCUAAUACCGCAUAGUUUCAGGRAUCGCAUGAUUCUUGAAGGAAAGGUGGCUUCGGCUACCACUAAUGGAUGGACCCUCGGCGUAUUAGCUAGUUGGUGAGGUAAUGGCUCACCAAGGCAAUGAUACGUAGCCGACCUGAGAGGGUCAUCGGCCACACUGGGACUGAGACACGGCCCAGACUCCUACGGGAGGCAGCAGUAGGGAAUCUUCCGCAAUGGACGAAAGUCUGACGGAGCAACGCCGCGUGAGUGAAGAAGGUUUUCGGAUCGUAAAACUCUGUUGUUAAAGAAGAACAAGGAUGAGAGUAACUGCUCAUCACCUGACGGUAUUUAACCAGAAAGCCACGGCUAACUACGUGCCAGCAGCCGCGGUAAUACGUAGGUGGCAAGCGUUGUCCGGAUUUAUUGGGCGUAAAGCGAGCGCAGGCGGUUCUUUAAGUCUGAUGUGAAAGCCUAUGGCUCAACCGGGGAGGGUCAUUGGAAACUGGAGAACUUGAGUGCAGAAGAGGAGAGUGGAAUUCCACGUGUAGCGGUGAAAUGCGUAGAUAUGUGGAGGAACACCAGUGGCGAAGGCGACUCUCUGGUCUGUAACUGACGCUGAGGCUCGUAAGCGUGGGGAGCAAA